This is a non-coding RNA of Macaca mulatta (Rhesus monkey), 2046 nucleotides long. Lineage: Eukaryota; Metazoa; Chordata; Mammalia; Primates; Cercopithecidae. The record is from RefSeq and is a predicted model, not a curated record.
GCCCCUCCGCGCCCUAUCCCUGGCCGGGCCGCCCGCCAGGCCGCCGUUUCCCGGAGCCGGCCCCCUCCCGCCCUCGCGGCCGGCUGAUGUCAUCUGCACACAACUUUCCGCUUCCCGGCCCGUCUCGGGGCCCUGAGUCAUCGCCGCCCCCGGCCCCGACGCUGGCCUGCGGCGUCUGUUUGUGCAGAGCGAGGCCCCGCCGGCCGGGCCUGACGUCAGGCUGGCAGGGCCUGGAACGGCCCCGCGCCGCUGCCCCCUGGGGGCAGGACAACACCGCUGGGGGCCGAGGGCAGGGCUCGCCCUCGGAAUCCGGCUUCGAAGCCGGCGCCACCUUGUGCCGGCCGCCUGACCUGAGGCAACUCUGUGCUUUCAACUCUCUGAACUUCGGUUUCCUCAUCUGCCAGUUGGCAGACGCUCAGCGAAUCUUCCUAGACUCACGGGGCGAAUUGUACAGUUGGGUAAAUCGAGGCCCAGAGAUGGGAAAAGGACUGUCCAAGGUCGUACAGCCACCCGGAAUUACAGUUCCUUUCUGCCGGGUCACACGCUGCCUUCCACGUGUUACCUAAGAAAGCUUUCCAGCCUGUGCUGAGAAAACCGCCCCACAUCAUCUGUGGCAGGACUGGGGGGCUGGAGCCCUGGUCAGGCCACUCUGCUUCUGGCCACAGUUUUCUCAUCUCUAAAAAGGCGCAGUAACAAUAUAAUGACCGUGUGGAGUCCCCCAGGAUACAGGGUCAAAGGAGAGCACAACCAUCGCAGUUUCAAGCCCAUGGGGCAGCCCAGUGCAGGUGCAUGUGACUCAUGAAACUUCAGUGACAUCUGCUCUGUGCCAGACACUGAAGAUGGAGCAGCGAACAGCACUGACCCAACCUGCCCUCCUGUUGCCUACAGGCCAGAAGCGAGGUCUCGCUGUGUUACCCGGGCUGGAGUGCAGUGGCUACUUACAGGCAUGAUCAUAGCACACUGCAGCCUCGAACUCCUGGACUAAAGCAGUUCUCCUGCCUCAGCCUCCAGAGCAGCUGGGACUGCAGACACGCACCACAGACAGAGUCCAGCCUGAGUCAUUCUGAUUCUGUAACUGGCUUCCUCUCGGUGAGCUGGCUCACACCCUCCACCCCCAGCUUGAGAAGGAAAGAGGAUGCUCACCGUUCAUUCCUCAUGCAGGCCAUCGAUGGAAAUGUCAGAUAGUGCGAGUCCACGCCUGAACACCUCUGGGGUCCGCUCUGGGACUGACACUGGCAGAUUCAUCGAUGAGCUCCCGCCUGCCACCUCUGGGCCUGCAUUGCGGUGAUAUGGCCAAGGGCCUGGGUCUUCAAUUCUCCAGACUUGCCGAAUGCACAGCGCAGGCCUCGUCGGCAACUGCAGACAAGCAGAGGCAGCACCUGGGCUCUGCCUGUGCCUGGUACAGUGAGGCGAGGGUGGGGGUAGGAAUGAGGGUCCUCUCCGUGCAAGGGGGGAAGAUAGAAGAACAAAAUUUCACCCUAAUGUAGUGUCUUUAGACCAUGAAAUGCUGUGCUCUUGUUAGUCUGAUAUCAGGUGCUUGCAGCCUGGCAAAGGAAAAGAAAAACAGGCUGAGGCACGUGAUAGAAGACAGGCAGGGAUGCCACAAUCAUAACCAUGGCAAAGACUAGGAUCAGACAGGCCCACCAUCUCUGACCCCAAAUCCCUGGGCAGAUGGUUCCAGAACUCAGAAUUUUCCCAGUUUUAGAAAGAUGGGGCCAGGUGCAGUGGCUCACACCUGUAAUCCCAGCACUUUGGGAGGACGAGGUGGGUGGAUCACCUGAGGUCAGGAGUUCGAGACCAGCCUGGCCAACAUGGUGAAACCCUGUUUCUACUAAAAAUGCAAAAAAAGACCAAAAAAAAAAAAAACAAAACAAAAAACAAAAAAAAAAACUUAGCCGGCUGUGGUGGUGCAUGCCUGUAAUCCCAGCUACUUGGGAGGCUGAGGCAGGAGAAUUCCGUGAACCCGGGAGGCGGAGGUUGCAGUGAGCCAAGAUCGAGCCACUGCACUCCAGUCCAGGCAACAGAGCAAGAGUCCAUUCCCCCUCC